This 511-nucleotide ribosomal RNA is filed under the name uncultured bacterium. RNAcentral describes it as "bacterial SSU rRNA". It matches the Rfam family "Bacterial small subunit ribosomal RNA", at positions 36 to 518 of the family's 1533-position model. The record is from RNAcentral.
CUGGCGGCGUGCCUAAUACAUGCAAGUCGAACGGCUUUUCUAUGGAAGCUUGCUUCCACUGAGAAGAUAGUGGCGAACGGGUGAGUAACACGUGGGUAACCUGCCCAUAAGAGGGGGGAUAACAUCCGGAAACGGGUGCUAAUACCGCAUAGUUUUCUUGAUCGCAUGAUCGGGAAAGGAAAGACGGCCUUUGUGCUGUCGCUUAUGGAUGGACCCGCGGCGUAUUAGUUAGUUGGUGAGGUAAUGGCUCACCAAGACGAUGAUACGUAGCCGACCUGAGAGGGUGAUCGGCCACAUUGGGACUGAGACACGGCCCAAACUCCUACGGGAGGCAGCAGUAGGGAAUCUUCCGCAAUGGACGAAAGUCUGACGGAGCAACGCCGCGUGAGUGAAGAAAAGGUUUUCGGAUCGUAAAACUCUGUUGUCAGAGAAGAACAAGUUGGAGAGUAACUGCUCCAGCCUUGACGGUAUCUGACCAGAAAGCCACGGCUAACUACGUGCCAGCCGCUGC